CGUCCAGACCGGAGAACAGAAACACCGGACAUCCGGCAGCUUCGCGAAGGCUGUAAUCAGCCGAUUGAGCACAGCUGUGCAUAGUUAAAGAGAUCGCCGGGCAAUUGGACAACUGGAGUACAUGGAGGAGUAUAAAAAGCACAGUUAAAUCACAGUUGAGGGUCGUAGUGUGUGCUGAGGAACGGAGCUGUGCUCAUUGCUAGACGUGGUGGCUGUCUGUAUUUCUCUCUCUCUCCCUCUCUCGUUGUAGUCUGCGGUGGACCUGCUGGAGUGAAAGGAAAAUCCUAUGGGUAAAAAGGAACUUUGGUCUAACCAGCACUUUUGAAGGAGUAAAGCAGGAAGAAAAUUGCCCUUGUUGUACAACGUAAACAAAGGCUAUCCGCUGUGAGUAUACCUUUUUGGUGUGGAGUAACUUGCAGAAAUUAACCUGUGUAAUCGUUGGAAACCUCCAGGAGAAGGAGGGCGGCCCUACCCCUAAAAUAGCGUGGUGGGCGAGCCGUUAGAAGCGUAAAUCCAAGCAGCCACAGCAACGAAACUCUAUUCUGGUCGUAUUUCCAUCGCCCUUAUCUCAGCCCAAGUGAAGUGGAGGACACCGGGCGUUUCCUUUGUUGUGUACACUUAUAGUGUGGUGAGUGAGACUUUGCAAUUAAUAAGCUUUUCACGUUGGAGUGGUGCUGUGUAUUUGCUGUGGGUUGCUGUGUGUCUUGUCAGACGAAGCCCCGCAUCAUCCAUUUCUUCUACUGGGCAGAGGACGGAGAGGCUAACGACCUCAGAAUUUACCGCUACCAUACGCAGUGUGCUGUUUUGGAGUGUGAAGGGACGCAGAUCACGAGCUGUCAGUGACUGUGAGUACAAUAUUGGAAAUAUUCGUGGUGCAAACUUACCUGUUCUGUCCUUGUCGCAGAAUCUGAGGCGAAAGGGUCCGCCGCCCCCGCGGUCUCUACAAAGGGGCGCCCCUGUCCAGGACUCGAUCGCCCUACGGGCAGUGGAGAUAGGGCAGCGCUCGACCCGGGGAGGUGGUGUGUGACCUUCGCCCCUCUGCUGACCUACGGAGGAAACCAUACUUAUCAGAGAGCUGUAAACAGCGGAGCCAGUGAGCAAUACUCGAAGUCCAAGUAACAGUGUCUUUGUGUCCUAGUGGCCACCUGUGGAGAGAAAGGAGAACGAGAGUGAAUAAUUGGGGAACAGACUGUGUAACGUGAUACCUACCCAGAGAGCUGUAAACAGCAGAGCCGGUGAGAAAUACUCGAAGUCCAAGUAACAGUGUCUUUGUGUCCUAGUGGCCACCUGUGGAGAGAAAGGAGAACGAGAGUGAAUAAUUGGAGAACAGACUGUGUAACGUGAUACCUACCCAGAGAGCUGUAAACAGCAGAGCCGUGGCCGCCUGUGGAGAGAAAGGAGAACGAGAGUGAAUAAUUGGAGACAGACUGUGUAACGUGAUACCUACCCAGAGAGCUGUAAACAGCAGAGCCGUGACCACCUGUGGGAAGCAAGGAGAACGAGGGUGAACGUACGACGGGGAACGUGAAGGCACGCGGGGCGAGGACCCCCUGCCGAACAGAGGAAAGGUACGCAGACAGCGGAAAAUCUCCUUACCAGUCACCCUGAAUUUGUUCUGCCUCCAGGAAGGAAGAAGGAGGGCGCCACGGUUAGCAGGGUCCAGGCCGGAGCCUGACGUUUCCCCUUUCCCCCGGCUUACAGUGGGUUGCACCCCUGUUGCCCUUGCCCUUUCUGCCCGUGGCUGCAGUCUCCCUGGAGGGAGGAGAAGAAGCCCAUUAGUUUUAAUUUCCCCUUCCCCAUUUCCCCAGUUCUUUUAAAUAUUUAAAUCAAAUAAAGCUUGUUUUAAAUUUUACUUAUCUGUUCCCGUGUUUGUCUGGUCAUUGGGUUGGCUUUGGGGACCUCCUCGAGGUGGGAGUUGAGAAGGGGCGUGGCUUCUAGUCAAACAUAGCCAGCCCCUGGGGGUGACAGAUUUUGGCGUAGUCGGCAGGGCCCCACCUCGAGUUGAGUAACCAAGGUCACCCAAUGACUGACAACGCGGGGCCUGCAGCCCCACCCCGUGCCACGUCCAUCAUCAUGGGAAGCCCAUGGAUCCAGAAAUAUGGAGGAGCAGAGUCGGAGGUACGACUGGCUGAAUGGAAGGCCCAGUUGGAAUACUUGGCCGACUAACAGGGCCUUAGCGCCGCCCAGCGGCUCCAGUUUGUGUUGAAUUCCCUAGAGGGAGAAGCAC
This is a non-coding RNA of Paramisgurnus dabryanus, 2227 nucleotides long. Lineage: Eukaryota; Metazoa; Chordata; Actinopteri; Cypriniformes; Cobitidae. The record is from RefSeq and is a predicted model, not a curated record.